RNAcentral lists this ribosomal RNA (301 nucleotides) under uncultured bacterium. RNAcentral describes it as "partial 16S ribosomal RNA". It matches the Rfam family "Bacterial small subunit ribosomal RNA", at positions 509 to 807 of the family's 1533-position model. The record is from RNAcentral.
CAGUAGCCGCGGUAAUACGUAGGUCCCGAGCGUUGUCCGGAAUUACUGGGCGUAAAGCGUGCGCAGGCGGUUGUGUAAGACAGGUGUGAAAUCCCCGGGCUUAACCUGGGAACUGCGCUUGUGACUGCACAGCUAGAGUAUGGCAGGGGGGGGUGGAAUUCCACGUGUAGCAGUGAAAUGCGUAGAGAUGUGGAGGAACACCGAUGGCGAAGGCAGCCCCCUGGGCCAAUACUGACGCUCAUGCACGAAAGCGUGGGGAGCAAACAGGAUUAGAUACCCCAGUAGUCCCUGUCUCUUAUAC